RNAcentral lists this ribosomal RNA (482 nucleotides) under uncultured bacterium. Its description in RNAcentral is "partial 16S ribosomal RNA". It matches the Rfam family "Bacterial small subunit ribosomal RNA", at positions 30 to 507 of the family's 1533-position model. The record is from RNAcentral.
AUUGAACGCUGGCGGCAUGCUUUACACAUGCAAGUCGAACGGUAACAGGCCGCAAGGUGCUGACGAGUGGCGAACGGGUGAGUAAUGCAUCGGAACGUGCCCAGGCGUGGGGGAUAACUACUCGAAAGAGUAGCUAAUACCGCAUACGAUCUAUGGAUGAAAGCGGGGGACCGUAAGGCCUCGCGCGAUUGGAGCGGCCGAUGUCAGAUUAGGUAGUUGGUGGGGUAAAGGCUCACCAAGCCAACGAUCUGUAGCUGGUCUGAGAGGACAACCAGCCACACUGGGACUGAGACACGGCCCAGACUCCUACGGGAGGCAGCAGUGGGGAAUUUUGGACAAUGGGCGCAAGCCUGAUCCAGCAAUGCCGCGUGAAGGAAGAAGGCCUUCGGGUUGUAAACUGCUUUUGUACGGAACGAAACGGCUCUGGUUAAUACCCGGGGCUAAUGACGGUACCGGAAGAAUAAGCACCGGCUAACUACGUG